RNAcentral lists this ribosomal RNA (213 nucleotides) under uncultured Anaerococcus sp. RNAcentral describes it as "partial 16S ribosomal RNA". It matches the Rfam family "Bacterial small subunit ribosomal RNA", at positions 143 to 354 of the family's 1533-position model. Lineage: Bacteria; Bacillati; Bacillota; Tissierellia; Tissierellales; Peptoniphilaceae. The record is from RNAcentral.
AUAGCCGUUGGAAACGACGAAUAAUACCCUAUGACAUAAACUCUUCGCAUGAGGAGCUUAUCAAAGAUUUAUCGGUGUAAGAUGGACUCGCGUCUGAUUAGCUAGUUGGUGAGGUAACGGCCCACCAAGGCGACGAUCAGUAGCCGGCUUGAGAGAGUGUACGGCCACAUUGGGACUGAGACACGGCCCAGACUCCUACGGGAGGCAGCAGGC